Molecule: ribosomal RNA, 462 nt
Filed under: Alicyclobacillus sp. R-10926
Lineage: Bacteria; Bacillati; Bacillota; Bacilli; Caryophanales; Alicyclobacillaceae
Description: bacterial SSU rRNA
Rfam family: Bacterial small subunit ribosomal RNA
Source: RNAcentral
GACGAACGCUGGCGGCGUGCCUAAUACAUGCAAGUCGAGCGGACCUCUUYKGAGGUCAGCGGCGGACGGGUGAGGAACACGUGGGUAAUCUGCCUUUCAGACCGGAAUAACGCCCGGAAACGGGCGCUAAUGCCGGAUACGCCCGCGAGGAGGCAUCUUCUUGCGGGGAAAGGCCCRAUUGGGCCGCUGAGAGAGGAGCCCGCGGCGCAUUAGCUNGUUGGCGGGGUAACGGCCCACCAAGGCGACGAUGCGUAGCCGACCUGAGAGGGUGACCGGCCACACUGGGACUGAGACACGGCCCAGACUCCUACGGGAGGCAGCAGUAGGGAAUCUUCCGCAAUGGGCGCAAGCCUGACGGAGCAACGCCGCGUGAGCGAAGAAGGCCUUCGGGUUGUAAAGCUCUGUUGCUCGGGGAGAGCGGCAUGGGGAGUGGAAAGCCCCAUGCGAGACGGUACCGAGUGA